UUAAGGUUCAGGUAACCCAGUAGUGAUGCCUGGCGCAUAGCCAUCAAACGUUAAGGUUCAGGUAACCCAGUAGUGAUGCCUGGCACAUAGCCAUCAAACGUUAAGGUUCAGGUAACCCAGUAGUGAUGCCUGGCACAUAGCCAUCAAACGUUAAGGUUCAGGUAACCCAGUAGUGAUGCCUGGCACAUAGCCAUCAAACGUUAAGGUUCAGGUAACCCAGUAGUGAUGCCUGGCACAUAGCCAUCAAACGUUAAGGUUCAGGUAACCCAGUAGUGAUGCCUGGCACAUAGCCAUCAAACGUUAAGGUUCAGGUAACCCAGUAGUGAUGCCUGGCACAUAGCCAUCAAACGUUAAGGUUCAGGUAACCCAGUAGUGAUGCCUGGCACAUAGCCAUCAAACGUUAAGGUUCAGGUAACCCAGUAGUGAUGCCUGGCACAUAGCCAUCAAACGUUAAGGUUCAGGUAACCCAGUAGU
Oncorhynchus tshawytscha (Chinook salmon) is the source of this 474-nucleotide long non-coding RNA. RefSeq lists it as uncharacterized. The record is from RefSeq and is a predicted model, not a curated record. NCBI's taxonomy places the organism in Eukaryota, Metazoa, Chordata, Actinopteri, Salmoniformes, Salmonidae. The transcript has 3 exons.